AACGAACGCUGGCGGCAUGCCUAACACAUGCAAGUCGAACGAGACCUUCGGGUCUGGUGGCUCCCGGGUUCGUAAAGCGUGGGAAACUGCCCUUAUGUUCGGAAUAACUCCCCGAGAGGGGUUCUAAUACCGGAUACUAUCUUCGGACCAAAGAUUUAUCGCCUUUGGAUGGGCCCGAGUUGGUUUAGCUAGUGGGUAGGGUAAAAGCCUACCAAGGCGACGAUCCAUAGCUGGUCUGAGAGGAGGAUCAGCCACACUGGGACUGAGACACGGCCCAGACUCCUACGGGAGGCAGCAGUGGGGAAUAUAGGACUAGGGGCGAGAGCCUGAUCCAGCAAGGCCGCGUGAGUGAUGAAGGCCUUAGGGUUGUAAAGCGCUUUUAACCGGGAUGAUAAUGACGGUACCGGGAGAAUAAGCACCGGCUAACUACGUG
Molecule: ribosomal RNA, 433 nt
Filed under: uncultured bacterium
Lineage: Bacteria
Description: partial 16S ribosomal RNA
Rfam family: Bacterial small subunit ribosomal RNA
Source: RNAcentral